This 497-nucleotide ribosomal RNA is filed under the name uncultured bacterium. RNAcentral describes it as "partial 16S ribosomal RNA". It matches the Rfam family "Bacterial small subunit ribosomal RNA", at positions 28 to 507 of the family's 1533-position model. The record is from RNAcentral.
GAUGAACGCUGGCGGCGUGCCUAAUACAUGCAAGUCGAGCGAACAGAUAAGGAGCUUGCUCCUCUGACGUUAGCGGCGGACGGGUGAGUAACACGUGGAUAACCUACCUAUAAGACUGGGAUAACUUCGGGAAACCGGAGCUAAUACCGGAUAAUAUAUUGAACCGCAUGGUUCAAUAGUGAAAGACGGUUUUGCUGUCACUUAUAGAUGGAUCCGCGCCGCAUUAGCUAGUUGGUAAGGUAACGGCUUACCAAGGCGACGAUGCGUAGCCGACCUGAGAGGGUGAUCGGCCACACUGGAACUGAGACACGGUCCAGACUCCUACGGGAGGCAGCAGUAGGGAAUCUUCCGCAAUGGGCGAAAGCCUGACGGAGCAACGCCGCGUGAGUGAUGAAGGUCUUCGGAUCGUAAAACUCUGUUAUUAGGGAAGAACAAAUGUGUAAGUAACUAUGCACGUCUUGACGGUACCUAAUCAGAAAGCCACGGCUAACUACGUG